This is a long non-coding RNA of Suncus etruscus (white-toothed pygmy shrew), 268 nucleotides long. RefSeq lists it as uncharacterized. The transcript is spliced from 3 exons. The record is from RefSeq and is a predicted model, not a curated record. NCBI's taxonomy places the organism in Eukaryota, Metazoa, Chordata, Mammalia, Eulipotyphla, Soricidae.
CUACAUUUUGUCCUCCUUUUUUUGGAGAAAGGUCUUAGUGAUUAAGUCAAUACGGUGUUGAUUUUUAUGACAAUAACCAAUGAUUUCUAAUUAUUUUGGUGAUUAAAGUGACUCAGGAAAAUUUAAAGUCACAGUUUUUGAUAUAUGGAAGUCUAGGCAUUAGAAGAGGCCCGAAUUUUGUGAGAUUUCUUAAAAGACUGUGAAAACUCCAUUUUGUGUGACUGAGUGCUCAUAUCAAGACUAAGCGAUGGAAAGUUUCCUGCUCAAG